AAUCAGUUUCCUUUUCAUGGGAGUCUGACUAUCAUUUACUAAAAAUAUUAUCUAAUGCAAAACGAGAAUUAAAGGAAAAAUUGAAAAGUGUAAUUAAACGAGUAGGCCAUAAAAUCAUGGCAAGUCUGGUGCCAACAGCCGUGGUAAUUACAGCUCCAAAAGCGUAUAUUAAAGUUGUUGCAGUUAAAAAGCUCGUAGUUGAAAUUGAGGUAGAUGUAAUUUGAAAUCUUAUGAUUGAUUAUUACUAUACCUUUUCUUCGUGUAUAUUAGUGAGGGACUUAAUUGUUUUUUACUAGUAACCGAAAUGUUUACUUUGAAAAAAUUAGAGUGCUUAAAGCAGGCUUACGCUUGUAUAUUGUUGCAUGGAAUAAUAAAAUAGGACUUUGGUUUUAUUUUGUUGGUUUUCUUAACUAAAGUAAUGAUUAAAAGAGACUGCCGGGGGCAUAUGUAUGCUGGUGCUAGAGGUGAAAUUCUUAGACCAUCAGCAGACAAACUACUGCGAAAGCAUUUGCCAAGAAUGUUUUCAUUAAUCAAGAACGAAAGUCAGAGGAUCGAAGACGAUCAGAUACCGUCCUAGUUCUGACCAUAAACUAUGCCAACUGACAGUUAGUAAAGAUGAAUUAUUUCUUCUUACUAGAAGUCACCGGGAAACCAAAGUCUUUGGGUUCCGGGGGAAGUAUGGUUGCAAAGCUGAAACUUAAAGGAAUUGACGGAAGGGCACCACAAGGAGUGGAGCCUGCGGCUUAAUUUGACUCAACACGGGAAAUCUCACCCGGUCCGGACACUGUGAGGAUUGACAGAUUGAUAGCUCUUUCUUGAUUCGGUGGGUGGUGGUGCAUGGCCGUUCUUAGUUGGUGGAGCGAUUUGUCAGGUUAAUUCCGAUAACGAACGAGACUCUGACUUACUAAAUAGUGAAUUUAUAUUCAAUUGUAAAUUCUCACUUCUUAGAAGAAUAAAUAGCGUUUAGCUAUAUGAAAUAGAGCAAUAACAGGUCUGUGAUGCCCUUAGAUGUCCGGGGCCGCACGCGCGCUACAAUGGCAGUACUAACAAGUUUUCCUAACUAGUCGGGUAAUCUCUUGAAACACUGUUGUAUCAGGGAUGUGAAUUGAAGUUUUUUCACAUGAACGAGGAAUUCCUAGUAAGCGCAAGUCACUAGCUUGCGCUGAUUACGUCCCUGCCCUUUGUACACACCGCCCGUCGCUACUACCGAUUGAAUGGUUUAGUGAGAUUGUUGGAUUCUGAUUUAAGAAAUGGCAACAUUUCUAUGAAUGGGAAAAGACACUCAAACUUGAUCAUUUAGAGGAAGUAAAAGUCGUAACAAGGUUUCCGUAGGUGAACCUGCGGAAG
RNAcentral lists this ribosomal RNA (1347 nucleotides) under Schmidtea mediterranea. RNAcentral's name for it is "SSU rRNA". It matches the Rfam family "Eukaryotic small subunit ribosomal RNA", at positions 476 to 1823 of the family's 1831-position model. The record is from RNAcentral. Lineage: Eukaryota; Metazoa; Platyhelminthes; Tricladida; Dugesiidae.